This 402-nucleotide long non-coding RNA is filed under the name Linum usitatissimum (flax). RNAcentral's name for it is "long non-coding RNA (LUSI_LNC004215)". Lineage: Eukaryota; Viridiplantae; Streptophyta; Magnoliopsida; Malpighiales; Linaceae. The record is from RNAcentral.
UUAAUUAUAGAUAAAGAGACUAACGCUACUUAUGUACAUAAGGGUUUCGAUUAACUCAUAACCAUAACGAAUUUAACCCGAUACAACGCUACAAAGAGGAGGAAGGGGAAGUCCGUUGAAGUAAAGUGCUCACUUUCACCAUCUUCCUCACCUUCCGAUCACCUGCCGCCGCUGCCGCUCCAUCUCCAACAUUAUCAUCUGCCGCUGUAGCCAAACCACCACCGUUGUCGUCAACGUCAUGAACUACGACCAUCUUAAGAUUGUAGUCCAAGCUCAACCUUCUCUUCUUCACCGGCAACGCUCUCUCCUCCUCCCUCCACCACCACCCAACGGAUACAGCUGACUUGGGUUCGUCCGGCGACGGUGGCGGAAUCCUCCCGGUCAUCAUGAAGGUUGUCAUUU